This 301-nucleotide ribosomal RNA is filed under the name uncultured bacterium. RNAcentral's name for it is "partial 16S ribosomal RNA". It matches the Rfam family "Bacterial small subunit ribosomal RNA", at positions 509 to 809 of the family's 1533-position model. The record is from RNAcentral.
CAGUAGCCGCGGUAAUACGGAAGGUCCAGGCGUUAUCCGGAUUUAUUGGGUUUAAAGGGAGCGUAGGCUGGAGAUUAAGAGUGUUGUGAAAUGUAGACGCUCAACGUCUGACUUGCAGCGCAUACUGGUUUCCUUGAGUACGCACAACGUUGGCGGAAUUCGUCGUGUAGCGGUGAAAUGCUUAGAUAUGACGAAGAACUCCGAUUGCGAAGGCAGCUGACGGGAGCGCAACUGACGCUUAAGCUCGAAGGUGCGGGUAUCAAACAGGAUUAGAUACCCCAGUAGUCCCUGUCUCUUAUAA